UCAGGUUCCCACGGGAAGCUUUUUACCUGCUUUGUUUGAUGGAACUACUUUAUACUUUGUACCCAGGUUAUAAGAGCAUUUAUAUAUUAAAGAUCUGUUUUUUGCUACAGAUACGUGAAAGUCAAACAUAUUUCAGAAAAUGUCAUCAGUGAAAAUGUCCAGAUUUUCUCUCUGCUGAUCAAAACUUCAAGAACUUUCUGCUUCUCCUCCGAAAAGUUGUAAAUAUCCUUGUAUCCACGACAAGGUGAGCUUUGUAAAUUAUGAGGUCAAAAACUGUGUUUUUUCCCGUAGAUUUGUAAAAUGGCUUCUAAUUCUACAGGUUACUGGUUAAAAGCUGAAUCCUCUCAGGUGGAUGACAGGGAACAGAUUUUGACCCCUCAAACAUUUAAAACUAAUAUUUUUAACAUCUUUUAUCAUGGUGAUUAUUUAUUUUGUUUUGCUGAUUUUUGCUGCUUUUGUUUGUUGCAAUGUUGUAUUACCUUGAUAUUUAUUCCAAAAAGGUGAACUUUUCUUAUUUUCCUGCUUGUAUUGUCAGGUUGUGUUCUCUGCAUGUAUUUAGGUAAAAAUGAUUUCUGAUGUUCAGAUAGGAUUUCUCAAUAAUCGGGAUGCUGAAUGAUUUGUUUCUCUGAGAGAACAAUAAAUGAUUCAGAACGUUUAUAAGUUAAAACAAAUGCACUUUUACCACAUUUUGUCUUCAGUCUAGAGUUUUCUUCCUGUAGCAGUUUGAGACAAAAGUUUCUUAUCAGAAUAUUUCUGUCUUUCUAAAUGUGCACAAGAAACGCCAACAGCAGGAACGUUAGGCUUUUGUUCUCAUACAUUUGUACAUUUUGCUGAAGAACAAAACUUAAACAAACAAACUUUGCUGAAACUGGAUCUGCAUCCAAACCAGGUAUGAACCGUUAACAGUCAUAACAUCUGUAAACAAACUGAUCUGCUUAAAAGACUUUUUCUGCUCUCAUGAAGGAAGUUUCUGUGAUGUGUUUUAAUCUCUUUGUUUUCUCUUCAGUGCUUUGUGUUCUGUUAUCGCUGUAACAGUAAGUCGAACGAUGUUUUCUUUUCUCGGCCUGCAUCGGAUUAGACUUUGGACCGAACUUCAUUCAACAUGACGCGGCACCUUUGGCAACCUGCCCACCCUAAAGCUAAAUGUUUUUGCAGAAUCAAACAGCAAAGCUCAAAUGUUUCUCAUUUUCCUGCAUCAGAGAAACAUCUCAACUCCAUAGUCAGAAAAGUACAAUAAUAUUCAGCAUUUUUGCGUUUGCAUUGAAACUUAUGCUUGUGAUCAAAGUAAUCUAUUCUUUGUAGGAAGAGGAAAAUAAAAUCAAGUCAUUUAUAUGUUUAAUGAGGAUUUUAAUCAUUUUUUAGAUAUUCCAAACAUUGAAUUUCUGUCAUUAAAUCCCCGUUGCUUUAUUUUUAUUUUUCAGCCUUCAGUCUGACAUUUAAAUGUUCCAGCUUGCAGCACUGUGGUGCUUUCGCAGCAGAAUCAUUUCCUCAGUCUUCUGUGGACGCUGCACGCCUGCGUCAAGCUCAGGGCUCAUGUUCAACAGUUCUUCACUAAACCAAAGUACAAUGAAGCCCAGCAGAGGGGAAAUGAGAUGGAGGAAGUCUGCGGUCGCCCUGCAGUCAGCAGGAAGCAUCAGUGAACCCACAAUGGAGCCCGGCAACGAAAAACCCCAUAGCAACGGUUGAAGUCUGCUGUUCAACAGGACAGGUUCUCUGAACAUUUAGAGAGGCUGUGUGUCUCUGACCUCCAGCUGUUUCCAGAAGCUUCAUCUGAGCGGAAAUCAUCCAGGAAGUCUGGGAAUGAAGCUGCUCUCUGCUGGACUGGGGCGGAGAUGCGGUUCUGCCAGCUUUGUGCUUCCAUACUUGUGGAUAAACAAGGAGCAGGAGGGUGAACAAACAGGAAUUGGUUUUUGACCUGGAUUAUGCUGAGCGGUGAAGACGCAUGUUCUCCAGGAUUCUCCACGCUCUUUUUCUGGAGUGUUGCAUUUCAAAAAUACGGUAUGUUUGUCCUUCUUUUUUUUGACGAUGUAUAUUUUAUCUUUAUAUGAUUAAAAAACAAAAACAGUGAGUAUAUGGAGAUAAUGUGGUUAUUCCCAGCAAUCAAAUAUAAUGUUAUUUUCUAAAAUUGAACUUACAUCAGAUUUGUUGUUGCUGAUCUAGACAGAAAUGAUAAACGUAUUUUAUUUUGGAGCGACAUCCAGAGGAAAUGAAGCUGCGGUCCAG
This is a long non-coding RNA of Xiphophorus hellerii (green swordtail), 2223 nucleotides long. RefSeq lists it as uncharacterized. The record is from RefSeq and is a predicted model, not a curated record. The transcript has 3 exons. NCBI's taxonomy places the organism in Eukaryota, Metazoa, Chordata, Actinopteri, Cyprinodontiformes, Poeciliidae.